This 313-nucleotide ribosomal RNA is filed under the name uncultured Glomus. RNAcentral describes it as "SSU rRNA". It matches the Rfam family "Eukaryotic small subunit ribosomal RNA", at positions 569 to 888 of the family's 1831-position model. Lineage: Eukaryota; Fungi; Glomeromycota; Glomeromycetes; Glomerales; Glomeraceae. The record is from RNAcentral.
AGCAGCCGCGGUAAUUCCAGCUCCAAUAGCGUAUAUUAAAGUUGUUGCAGUUAAAAAGCUCGUAGUUGAAUUUCGGGAUCAAAUUGUCGGUCGUGCCUCGGUACGUACUGGUAUUAUUGGUUCCUCCCUUCUGACGAACCACGAUGUCAUUAAUUUGGUGUCAUGGGAAAUCAGGACUGUUACUUUGAAAAAUUGAGUGUUUAAAGCAGGCUCGCGCUUGAAUACAUUAGCAUGGAAUAAUGAAAUAGGACGUUUGAUUCUAAUUUUGUUGGUUUCUAGGAUCGACGUAAUGAUUAAUAGGGAUAGUUGGGGC